CAGACGCAAGACUCUGAGGUAGCCCUGGGGAGGGAGACAGCAGCUCGGCAGCCCUUAUCCUCAGGAAGCCCUGAGCGCUGAGAGGCGCUGUUACAGAACCAAACUGAGGUUCACUCGCUAGGCCUACUUAGGUGCCUGGAAUUUCCCUUCAAGGAACUCAGGAGUUUUCUUUAUUUUCAUCCUUGGGAAGGCUCAUUAGGCCCCUAAGAGGGGGUCCUGUUCCCAUCUCAGGACUAAAAUGCAAUGAAGAUGUUGCUCAGGUAUGCUCGGGGAAGACAGGCUGGGAGGGCUGGGUGCCACCUUUAAGGAGAAUUCCUAACACAUUGGGUGCCCGAACCCCUGAUGGGACCUUGUGGUCUUGAAUGAAAAGCUCAGGCAUUAGCUCUGUGUGCCCACUGACUUUUACUAAACAGGCUGCUGCCCAGGCUGGUUCAACAUGACGCCACCCCCACCCCCUUUCUCUGUGCUCCCCCAUCACCCAACCCACAAGGGAGGACCUUCACUCUCACAACCAGCUCAUGCCGUGCUGUGCACUCCUGAUGAAGGCUCUUGAGCGCCGUCUUCAGAGCUGCUGAUAAUCUGGCAUUGAAUGGCCAGGCUGGAGGUUGAAUGCUGAAUCCUUUCAAAUGCUGUGAUAAAGCCUGGCAUGUCUCAGCACUGUCUCCUUUUGUUUUCAACCAUCCUGACACUGCAGAGGCAGCUGGAGAGGGAUGGGUCUGUGGGUGACGCCCCGCAGAGUGAAGCCGAGAUGAUGUGGCCACCAAGGCCGGAGGGGAGGGACAUUUCACUUUUUAAAUCAGCUUUCUGAAGUAUGAUCUCCAUAUAAUCACCUAGAAGCAUACAGCGCAAUGAUCUUGACAGAUGCCAGCAUCCUUGGAACCACUGCCACAACCAACGUCUCAAACCAUUCCAUCAAACCCAGAACAUGCCUGGUGCCCUGAAGCGUCUCCCUUCAAUGGCAGAACCAGCAGAGGUUCAGUGGUCACAAGGUGAGUGAGGCAGCCUAGGUCUGGCUUCUGGCCAUUAAUUUUAAAUAAUUUGCAUUUAACUUUGAACCACCACACCUGGCCAUAUUGGACAGUGCAGGAGGAAUAAACUCACUGGCACAUCCUUCUGGAGGGUCUACUGUGUGCCCCCCUCCAAGCGGAGCGUGUGGGAACAGAGAGCAGCAUCCCUGCCACAGUGGGUGGCAGUCUGCUUGUGAGAUAUUUUAUUUUCUUGAAACAAAUAAAAACGACAAAAGGAUGCAUGGUGUAAAAACUGGUUGUCAGGCUAAAAUAAAAAAACCAUUAGUGGGCAACACAGCACAGAGUGGGCUCUGCCCAGGCCACAUGUGUGCAGUGCCAGGACUUGGCUUCAGACCCAGAUGUCCACACCCAGCUCUGCCUAUUACACAAAGGCGGACAGAGCUGCGGGCCAGCGGCUGGCAAAAGGCUUUGGGGCAACCAGAGCUCUCCAUCGGGGCAUUGCAGCCUUUAAGAGAAGGUGGGAACCGCUGCAUUUGCCCCGCCCUGGAUCUCAGCCCAGGAAAUCCACUGUCACAGAACAACAGUCUUAGGAGCUUUCUUACCAAGACAGAAGGAAGCUUCUAAACCCAUCAGUGGUGAACGCCAGGUGGGUCUCUGGAACUUUUUCAUCAUGGAAAACUGAAACUCUCUACUCAUUGAACACUGUACACUUGAUUGAGAGAGCAAAUUGUAUGUGUUUUUGCCAGCCUCUUCCUGAAGGCGAACAUUUGUCUCGAUCUGUAUUUGCAUUCUUUAUCUAUGUUUAAAUUUUGUAUGAGAUUGAAUUCAUGUGUAUGUGAACUGAAAUGAAAUUAAAAAGUCAAACAACAAAAAA
Pongo pygmaeus (Bornean orangutan) is the source of this 1842-nucleotide long non-coding RNA. RefSeq lists it as uncharacterized. NCBI's taxonomy places the organism in Eukaryota, Metazoa, Chordata, Mammalia, Primates, Hominidae. The transcript has 3 exons. The record is from RefSeq and is a predicted model, not a curated record.